Molecule: ribosomal RNA, 383 nt
Filed under: Hepatozoon sp. 530
Lineage: Eukaryota; Apicomplexa; Hepatozoidae
Description: partial 18S ribosomal RNA
Rfam family: Eukaryotic small subunit ribosomal RNA
Source: RNAcentral
GGCUACCACAUCUAAGGAAGGCAGCAGGCGCGCAAAUUACCCAAUUCUAACAGCAUAAGAGAGGUAGUGACAAGAAAUAACAAUACAGGGCAGUUAAAAUGCUUUGUAAUUGGAAUGAUAGAAAUUUAAACACUUUUUAAAGUAUCAAUUGGAGGGCAAGUCUGGUGCCAGCAGCCGCGGUAAUUCCAGCUCCAAUAGCGUAUAUUAAAAUUGUUGCAGUUAAAAAGCUCGUAGUUGAAUUUCUGCUAAAAAAAACCGGUCUGCUUUUUUAAUAAAAGUAGUAUCUUGGUGCGUUUUUAGCAAUAAUAUCCUUUGAAAUGCUUUUUACUUUAUUGUAAAAAGCAAUAUUCAGGAUUUUUACUUUGAGAAAAUUAGAGUGUUUC